UGCUUGUUCCACUGCUCCAAGGCUGACUGAUACCAGCAAUUAAAACUGCAUUUCUUUAUGGGGCAAUUUGGUAUGGUUGCUGCAUCUUAGGAGCUCAGGCACUUUGGAGGCAGAGUUCAGAGAGGGCUUUGUCAUCUGGAGGGGGCUGUAAAGGCCACACUGGCAAUGAAGUGAACACUCAUGUCAUAUAGACCCUCUCAACAUGUUAACUCGAUUAGCAUGUGCUUUGUGGAAGGUUUUGUUGUUGUUAUUGUUUGUGGGGUUUUUUUCUGUGUUUUGUGUUUUCAGCUGCAGAUCAACUAAUUUUCUUGGUCCAAUUAGAGUUACAGCUGCUAAAGCCUAAGGCAUGACUGGCUGAUUGGGUUUUGAAGAAUGUGACAUUUUGCAGCUAAAAGCUUUAUCAAGGGUAAGCAGCAUUAACCUCUUUUCUUGCUGCCUUUUUUCUCUUUAAGCAAUAGAGAUUUGCUGUCUCCAGCUGGACCCACUGCUCAUGCCAAAGGCUGGGCAGCUCAUGAUAAAUGAUUGGUUCCCCACAACUUUGCAUCCUAGUCCUCCCAGCCCCAGCCUUCUGCCAGGGAAGCUCUUCUCCUGGAGCCUUCUGCACUCCAGGUUUUCCUCCCACUUGUUCCCUGAGUGGUUGUGAUAUCCCAUUUGCUGAGUUUAUCCAUCUACAACAAGGAUGGUGGCCAGAAGCAGCUGUGCCCCUGCUCAACCAUUCCCACCUCUGUCGUCUGUUCCUACCUCACACAGCCCUUGCUGCAUCCCCUGUCUACUGCCCUCUCACCCCAGCACAGCUAGAUCAGCUGGAAGAUGUUUUGACAAGCACUAAAUGGAACAACUUGCAAAACUGGAUCAAAAUCAACAAAUAAUUUUGGCUGGGAAAAAAAAAAAAAGUUGUGAAGAGAAGGAGGAAUUUUGAAAAUGCCAUGCAAUGUCACUUAGACAUGUGCAAAAUGAGAUGUUCCGUUUUGGAAAAGCCUAAAUCACAUCAAAGAUUUUCUGACUUCAGAUUUUCAAACAGCAUUCCAAUCACCGGAUUCCAAAACAGUGUAUUUUGAUAGCUGAUUAGCAGUUAUGUAUUAAAAAAAAAAAUUGCAGAAGAUUCAGAAGACAAUGUUUUCUGUUGGCCUGAGCAAAAAGGUCUCAGGAUGACCUGAAACACCUUUACUUUCAGGUUUUCACUAUUUUAUUUUGGGGAAAACUUUCUACUUCAGUUUGACCCAAACAAUCCCCUCUACCUCUCCAGUAUUUAUCCCAAUGAAAAGACACACUAAGAAGGUUCCUCUUUCACUCAGUCCAAGCCAUGGUCUUGAUUUCUACCAUUUUAAACGAAUUUUGUACAGCUUCUUUCAUCUUUGGCAACAGGGGCAGCUCCCAAAGACAGAUUGUCUUUGCUGGGCUAACAGUAGCCUUUGAAAAUCCACCCAGUAGGCACACCUAGAGUUUAAAUAUAAUGUGAAGAGAUUUGAAGUUAAUGUAAUGCACUUUUAAUGCAGCCAAGCCUAGAGGUAGCAGCUUUCAGCACAAUGCCUCACUCAGAAAAGGAAGUGAGUGACCCACUCCAUUGAAGUUGAAAUUAAAAUGGAAAUGAUCUUCCUCACUCAUCCAUCAUGACACCUUUAAAAAGCUUCAGUCUUCAGUCAUCAAGAGAAAAGGUGGGAUGUAUUUUUUAAUUCUGUUUCCAUUAUGCUGUGAGUUAAUUUUCAUGGAAAUUCUGAGAAAUCACCUGGGAGAGACCCCAGAAAAAGAAGGCAAAGGAGAAUGGAUUUUAAGUGGUUUAUAGGAACUUAAAAGAGAAGAUUCUGUGAUUCAUCUCUAAAGUGUGGUGCCACUUCCUCCAGCCAGUAGUAGCAGCAUCCUGGCAUUCCAAGGAGGCAGGUUGGGACCUGCUGUGCAGGGCAGGUGCCUGACCUGGCUUGACCAAGGGCAUUGAUGCUCAAAGCAAGGGUGACAAAGGGCAGCAGCAGCAGCCAGAGCCACAGCCAUACCCCGGGUGCCACGUCCCCAGCCGGUGCCUGCCCACCCCAGGGCUUGCAGGCUGUCACUGCUCUGCUCUGUCACAGCAGAGACUUGUGCUAUCCCAUCUGCAUCCCAUUCUGCACAUCAGGGAUUGCAGUGUGGGCUCAUCUUCACCACACAAAGGUGUCAGCAGGAAAUGGGACUUCAAAGGCUUGAAAUGCCCUGCCACUAAGCCAGGAGUCUGACUGCAGGGUCUGAAUCUGGCUCAGAGCCGAAAUGUGCAACCCUGUGAACCAUUUGUGGCAUUUCUUUUCCUCCAGCAUUUCUUUGGUGUCUCUCAUCACUGCCACUUGCUAAUUAGCAUGCUUAUUGUGGGUUGCUUGCUUCUUUUGAAAUGUGCUAAGACACACAGUUCUGGAAAAAGCACACUGACAAACUUGAAACACCUGUAAUUAUCUGCAGUAAUAGUUACAACUUGGGUCCAAUGGCAGGGAGCCACGCUAUCCUGCUGUAUCACAUCCUCUGCCUAUAGCAGGCAGAUGUCCCCUGCUCCCCAAAGCACCUUCCCCACAGCCAAACAGCUCUUGGCCCUCCAUAGCAAGGAGUGUUCGUCACAGCCAGGCAGCAGCACCAUUUCCACACCAUGCUCAAAAGUGUGUCUGUUGCUACAGGGGAUGAUUGAGUACAGCUGCCAAAAAUCACCAGGGAAUCUCUAAACUUCACAGUUGAGAUAAUUUCACUGCCUUCCUUGUAAUUUCCUUAUUAGAUCUGAAUCCUGUAGGACUCAGUCAGGACCCACCCCAUCUUUCUCGCCUGGCCCACAGUGCUGAAAUCAAACGCGAACACUGUGAAACCUGAAUCAUCUCCUUAAUCAAACUUCAGGGCACAGGCAGUAUGACAAGAAAACCACUUCUGGAGAAAACAAACAGUGUUUUAACCAGCACCAGCCUCCCUGCCUGAUAAGGAGGACACCAGUUUGUAGGUUCUUCCAUGUUCUUCCAACCUACGCAUCAGCCCCUGCAUCCUUGCUCAGAUCACACAGCAUCUGCACGAUCUGAAUCACACAGGCAGGGCUUAUUCAUUGUCACAUGGCUAAAGAAAACCUACACUCAUCACUUGACAUAGCUGCAACUUACCCCAGGACAACAAAGAGACUGACAAUUUAGGCAGCAGUUGGAAGCUCCCUCUCUGGGAGCUCUCGUGGGACAUGGGGACCUGAUGAAGCUCCUCAGGCCUCCAGGAAGCUCUGUACCAAUGAAUGUACCAGCCAUGUCAGCACAAAAUUGAGCAUCCUGAAAAAUGCUUUAUCUGAAACACAGAAGAGUAAUAGAAAAGUUGAACCCAAAGAGCAAAACAUUCUCUGCCCUUCAUCUGAAAUGGGCAGCAAAACUCCCUGAUCAGUCUAGAAAAAAGAGCUCCAUCUGUACCUUAAAAGGGUAGCCAGCCUGCCUGCUCACUCCUGGAGGUGCACCCAUAAACCCUCUCUGCUCCUUUAGCUGAAUCCGGCUGCAGAGUAAACAGGGGCUGGGCUCUUGGGCUGAUUCUUGUCACCUGUGCCAUUCCUUUUCACUAAUUUAAAAACACCGGUAUGCUCCAUUACUCUUUGCUAGGUGCAGCUUUCUGAGCCCACAGAGUAGUUCCAGCUCAGCGUGGUGAAAGUGCAAGAUGGAGGAGAAGAUGAGACAGGAGUUCUACACUUGGCAUUUGUAGCAUUUGCCCACCUGUGAAACACAGUGGUGUGGAAAGGGAUGGUGACAUUUCUUCAUCACCCCUGAGCUAAUGUCUGCGCCUCUGGGCUUGCCUUGCUCACAUCUGAAUCACCCCAUGGUGGUUGCUUGCAUUCCCCUUCCUGCUCUCUGCCAGGUUCUCCCCUGGGCUUAGGAGCAAGAGAAGACAUUGUCCCAUGUGGGCACCACCAGCGACCACCUGCACCACCUCUGCACAUCCUUGCCAGUGCCAGUGCAGCCUUUGUCUCACAGGUGCAUGACCAUGAAGGAAGCAGGGUGUUUCCAUCAGAGGGUGACACAGGGCCAUCCACCAUGUCAGAGGGAGGACAGUGAGGGACAGAGGCAGGAAGGGAUGCUCCUCACUGCAUGGAUUAGGGCAGGAGGCUGGGAGGGUGGUUGGCCACACUGUACCUGCCUGCCUUGGUUCUGAAGUCAUGUGGCAGCAGAUACUCUGCGUGAUCAUGGCCCUCUUGUCGAAGGGGCAAGAGGGGCCAAAGUAGUGAUUGGAAGUUCCUUGGCCCUGCAGCCCAUGGAGCUGGGGCUUAGCUACGAACCCAGGCCGGGACCUCCUGCCUCACUUCCACAGCCUCCUGCCACUGCCCUGGGUCCUGCUGGACACCAAUCCAAACCUCAGCUACAGUGUAAUAUCCAUCCUUGCAGCCAAAAGCACUUUGGAACAUGUAUGUUUAAGCACCUGGCUAAAACCAUCAUGGCAAAGAACCAAAUCAUGUCACCCAUCCUCUUAAUAUAAUUUAAUGUAUAUGGUGUGCAUACAUUCGAUGGUCCAAACUCAGAUUCAACAAAAUAAACAAAAACAGCUGAUAUUUGACAGCUGUUUCUGCAGAUGGCAUAACUAAAUUUUCUUAUCCUUUUAUGUUUGUCUUUAAUAGAGGAAUAUGAUUUAAUUGCACCUUAUUUGCAAGACAGUUUAAAUUCAUUUUAUAAAAUAACCAGCGUAAAAUUCCCUUACCUAAAUUAUCUGUAGAUUACUUUUGAGUCUUUAUCUGUUUUUUCUCAUUACUUGUCUUCUUUUCCCCUCUCACAUUAUCUUAAAAUGUAGUUUUUCCUUUGUUCACCAUACUUCUCCCUCCCUUCCUCUCUGCUUCACUCAUUUUUUUGUUUGCGUCUUUCUUUCUUUAUUUUAUUGAAAUAAUAAAAAAAAAGAGAGUGGAUUUAUUUAUUGUUUUUCAUCUCGCUGUCCCAAGGAAAUAAGACAUGUGACAACCCAGUCUGGCCAUCAGUCUCCCUAGUUUCUAGAGUGAAAGCCUCAAACAUAAAAAAGUCUUACAAGUUGCAUGAAAACCAAUGACAAAGUGAAGAUAUUCAAGCUGGAAAUGUGCUGAGGGGGAGGCCACAGCAUAAAUUUAACAGUUAUUUUUCCUGUUCAGUAUGCAGUCAAGCCAAACUGCAAAUGGAGAUCAGACACAUGAUCACUGUGUUGUUUGGGCUCUAGAGUGGAUAUAGAGAUAGGGACAGUGGGUACAAAUUUACAGGAACUCACAUUCUUUCUGCUGUUCACUGCACAACUUGCUUUCUGAAUUUCCUAGAAGACAUUUUAUUACAGUAAAAACAAACAAAACCUCUGCUACAUCUGGUUUAUGAGUGGGGAAAAAAUGUUGGCACUGAGAAAGGGAAAACAUAGGAAUGACAGAACAUAAAGAAAAAGGUUUUGGGACUAAAUGCUGCCUCAGAGUUGUGAACAAAAAAACUGUUUCCUGCUGUUUCAUUCCUGUUUUGUUCAAAGAAAGAGGGUUUCAUAUACCUUCAGUGUAAAUAAAGAACGGCUCAAUAAGAAAA
Taeniopygia guttata (zebra finch) is the source of this 5483-nucleotide long non-coding RNA. RefSeq lists it as uncharacterized. The record is from RefSeq and is a predicted model, not a curated record. Lineage: Eukaryota; Metazoa; Chordata; Aves; Passeriformes; Estrildidae.